Molecule: long non-coding RNA, 3182 nt
Filed under: Callithrix jacchus (white-tufted-ear marmoset)
Lineage: Eukaryota; Metazoa; Chordata; Mammalia; Primates; Cebidae
Description: lncRNA (ENSCJAG00000080983.1)
Source: RNAcentral
AUGCAGGGAGGCAGUUUUAGAUGCCUAGCUGGCAUAAAGUCCAGAGAAAGGGAGGGAGAAGGGCUGAAUUUUGUAUUACUGUUCUACCUUAGGGGAUUUUCCUCAUGCCAAGAUAGGGUGUGUGUGUGUGUGUGUGUGUGCGCGCGCGCGCAGUAUAACAUUCUUUUAUGUUUCUUUUUGAGACAGAGUCUUGCUCUGUUGCCCAGGCUGGAGUGCAGUGGCAUGAACUUGGCACACUGCAGCCUUCAGGGUUCAGGUGAUUCUCCUGCCUCAGCCUUCUGAGACAGGGUCUACAAGCAUGCACCACCAUGCCCCGCCAAUUUUUUUUUUUUUGAGAGAAUCUUGCUCUUGAUGUCCAGGCAUCAAGAUUCAGGGCAGCUGGCUUACAAGGUAAGGGCCUCUACCCCUAUGAUCUCGGCUUACUGUAACUUCCACCUCCUGGAUUCAAGAGAUUGUCCUGGCUCACCUUCCUGAGUAGCUGAGAUUAUAGGUGACUACCACCAAGCCCGGUUAAUUUUGGUAUUUUUAGUAGAGACAGUGUUUCAUCAUGUUGGCAGGGCUGUUCUCAAACUCCUGACCUCAAGUGAUCUGCCUGUCUUGGCCUCCCAAAGCGCUGGGAAUACAAGUGUGAGCCACCAUGCCUGGCAUGCCCAGCCAAUUUUUGUAUUUUUAGUACAGAUGGGGUUUCACUAUGUUGACGAGGCUGGUCUUGAACUCCUGACCUCAAGUGAUCUGCCCGUCUUGGCCUCUCAAAGUGUUAGGAUUCCAGGUGUGAGCCACCGAGCCCGAUCCAUGAUAUCAUUCUUAUACCUUUGUGUCUUCAUAGCUUAGCUCCCACUUAUAAGUGAGAAUAUAGUGUAUUUGGUUUUCUAUUCCUGGGUUACUUCACUUAGAAUAAUGGUCUUCAACUCUGUCUAGGUUGCUGUGGAUGCCAUUAUUUUUUUCCUUUUUAUGGCUGAGUAGUAUUCCAUGGAGUAUCUAUAUUGCAUUUUCUUUAUCCACUCAUUGGUUGGUGGGCAUUUAGGCUGGUUCCAUAUUUUUGUAUGCAGUAUAACUUACAGAUAGUAAACAAUAUACAGCUUGAUGUAUUUUGACAUAUAAUGCAGUGUUUAACUACCACCUGGAUCAAGAUAUGAAACAUCUCCAGCACCUCAUAAGGUUCCUUCAUAUGUCUUUCCAAUCAACACUGCUUCAAAAGGAAACCCAUAUUUGGAUUUCUAUCACUGUAAAUUACCUUUGCCUGCCUUGAGCCUUAGCAUGUAUGCCUUUAUGUGUAGUUUUUUCUGCACAACAUCUUCUUAAUACUCACUGGUCUUGUUGCAUGUGUCAGACAUUCAUUUUUUUUAUUGCUGUGUAAUAUUCUAGUAUUUGCUUAUCCACCCAUGUGUUGAGGGACAUUUGUUUCCAGUUUUCAGAUAUCAUAAAUAAAGCUGCUGUCCACAAUGUUGUAUAUGUCUUUUUGUGAAGGGCAUUUUACUACUCUUGAGUGAAUUGUAGGAGUAGGCUUAUAUUUAUUUUCAAUGGGUACUGCCAAACAGUUUUCAAAGGGAUAAAACCAAAUACAGUGAUAUACAGAUAGACAGACAUACUUUAACAGGGCCUUUUCCUUAUAGAUAUCAUUCUCUAAAACCCACUAUUUACCUGCACUUAUUAUUACUGUUAUUAUAAAGGGAAAAACAGGUUUUUCUUUUGUUUUUUUGUUGCACAAGGUCUCACGCUGUUAUCCAUGCUGGAGUGCAAUGGCCUAAUCAUGGCUCACUGCAGCUUCAACCUCCUGAGCUCAAGCAACCCUCCUGCCUCAGCCACCUGAGUAACUGGGACUACAGAUGCUCACUGCCACACCCAGCUAAUUUAUGUAUUUUUCUUAGAGAUGGGGUUUCGCUGUGUUGCCCAGGCUGGUCUCAAACUCCUGGACUCAGUUAGUCCUCUCAUCUCGGCCUCCCAAAAUGCUGGGAUUACAGGCGUGUCACUACACCUGGCCAAAAAUAUAGCUAUCCUUUAUUAAGCACUUAUUUUGUGCCAGAAACAUUACAUGCAUUAUCUCAUUUCAUUUUUAUGAGAAACUAAAGGGAUUAAUAUUGUCCCCAUUUUACACUUGAGGAACCGGAGGCUCAGAGAGGGUGAGUAACUUGCCAAAGGCCCCCAGCUGAUAAGUGACCACUUGACUGUGGGCUCUGAAUUUCACUUCCGUACAUAUGCUUCUGUUUGUUCCUGCUAGGUCAGGAAGUUCUUCCUUCCAUCUGACCAAAUCUAGCUGCAGGUUAAGAGACUCAUUUCCUAUCCACCUGUGGUCCUCUCUGCAUACCUUCUCACGCCUAGACUCGAGAUCUGUGUACACACACAUAUGCACACAGUUUCUCUCCCACAGCCAUGCACACUCACUGUGAAGAAGAAGGGGAUGGGGCCAAUUUGGUGAAGAUUUAAGAGCUUGCCAAGUCCUGGGCUCAGCAACCUAAUGGGGUCCCUCUCAGAGAAUUUGCAGAAGAUUGGACAAAGAUUGGUCUAGGGACCAGUCUGUUUCUGGAUGCUAUAGAGGAUAAUUCAGAGGCUUUUUUUCCCUGGGAAGAGAUGGGAAUUUGGUUCUCCUCCCAGCAUGUUGAGCCAAGCCCAUGGUGGGCUGCAGAGGCUGAUGCCUAGGGCAUCCCUCUGCAAAGUUUGUCCAGAGAUGUUGCACUUUGCCGUGGAAGGUGGUUAGUGGGGAGGAUGUGUGUGGUCUGAGCAGGAAGUCUGGGGAACUGCCCCUCUGGGCAGAGUGCUUGACUAGGCCCUGCACGGAAUGGUCACUGCAGGAGGGAAAACAAGCAGCCUCCUCCUCGGGACCAUGGGUUACCAAAUCUCCAAGUCUCCAAGCCCCUAAGCUUGACUGAGAGAAGCAUUGCUACUCCGUGGGUAGAGGCCAUAUGUGGGUUUUCUAUGCUUUGCAGGUGGCCCCUCCUCAGGCCCCUUUCUAGACUAAUUGAGGUCCUGCUGGGCUCUGGGUUUGUAAUUGGGGUAAUUGCUGACAGGCUGCUGUGGUGGUACAAGCAGUUUUUUGUUGGGGAAACGGUAGUCAGGAUUAUGGGGUUUUGGGUGGGGACAGUCCAGGAUCCCUGUUCCAGGAAGCUCUUGUCUUUGGCCUUUUGCUUGGAGGCAGGACUCCUGAGGACCAGGGACUGGUAGCAUAUCUGAACAGGAAGAGACCU